This 490-nucleotide ribosomal RNA is filed under the name uncultured bacterium. Its description in RNAcentral is "partial 16S ribosomal RNA". It matches the Rfam family "Bacterial small subunit ribosomal RNA", at positions 29 to 507 of the family's 1533-position model. The record is from RNAcentral.
AGUGAACGCUGGCGGUAGGCCUAACACAUGCAAGUCGAACGGCAGCACAGGAGAGCUUGCUCUCUAGGUGGCGAGUGGCGGACGGGUGAGGAAUACAUCGGAAUCUGCCCAGUCGUGGGGGAUAACGUAGGAAAACUUACGCUAAUACCGCAUACGACCUUCGGGUGAAAGAGGGGGAUCGCAAGACCUCUCGCGAUUGGAUGAGCCGAUGUCGGAUUAGCUAGUUAGCGGGGUAAUGGCCCACCAAGGCGACGAUCCGUAGCUGGUCUGAGAGGAUGAUCAGCCACACUGGAACUGAGACACGGUCCAGACUCCUACGGGAGGCAGCAGUGGGGAAUAUUGGACAAUGGGCGCAAGCCUGAUCCAGCCAUACCGCGUGGGUGAAGAAGGCCUUCGGGUUGUAAAGCCCUUUUGUUGGGAAAGAAAUCUUUCAGGCUAAUACCCUGGGAGGAUGACGGUACCCAAAGAAUAAGCACCGGCUAACUUCGUG